UUUGGUGAAGGUGGGAGUGAAGAUGACAUGAUGAUGGUGGUGAAGAUGAUGAUUCUCCAUGGUUUUUCUUCCUUUCCUCCAAGCUCUUCUUUCCUUUUUCUCUCUUCUUCUUUCCUUCUCUUUCUUUUCUUUUUCCUUUCUGAUAUCUCUCACUCUCUCUUACCUACUUCUUCUUAUCCUUUUCUUCUUCUCUUUCUUUCUAACCACACAAAUUACAUAUAUAAUAUUUAUAAUAUCAAGUAGUAAUAAAAAUAUCCCAAUUGAUAUUUUAUCUUCCAACACCAAUUGAC
RNAcentral lists this long non-coding RNA (290 nucleotides) under Lathyrus oleraceus (garden pea). RNAcentral describes it as "Pisum sativum (pea) long non-coding RNA (PSAT_LNC003782)". The record is from RNAcentral. Lineage: Eukaryota; Viridiplantae; Streptophyta; Magnoliopsida; Fabales; Fabaceae.